UAAUUUUUUAAUAUUUUUAUAAUUUUUUAAAUAAUUUUUAUAAUUCUACUAAACUAAUGAAGUUAAGGAAGGAUUGGUAGAGGCAAGGACAAAGGGCCCAAAGAAAUCUCACAACACAGGAGUUCUUUCUUUGAUCCAAACAGCAAAUCCCAGUAAGGUGUCACCAGCAACAGCAGAGUUCACCACUCUAUCAACAGCAGUAAAUCCAGGCAGACUAUCAGGACAGUCAAAGAGAGGAAACCAAUGGCUUUUCUGGGUCCACCCCAGAAGUACCAAACAGCUACCCUCUGGGUAGCCUGACAGCUAGAGCAAAAGCAGGCUUCUUUCUCUUCCAGAGUCCACCAACUGCCAGCACCAGCCUGUGUGUUCCGUUCAUCCCUUCCUGGGAGCUUUGGAAUGUUGGUCCUGUCAUUGCCCUGUGGGAUCUUUUGCUUCUUGCUUUUUGCAAAGCGAAUCCCUUACAACAAAUCCAAAUCUCAAAUAAUCACAAGUUAUUAUGACAUCAUUAAUGGCUGGAGCAGUGUCAAAGAGACCAUCUCCCAGGCCCAUUGCUAGGGCACUGCCCAAUUUCCGAGAUGUCAAAUAGAAAGGUAACUACGCAGAUUGGGGUACAUAGGCUUCUCUUUCUCCCACAAUGAGAAGAGGGAGGGUUGGUUCUAAUACAAAUGUUCUAUUUCUUUAGAUGGCAGAAAAGCUCCAGCUCUGCUUGUUUCCAAGCAGAAAAGAAGACAGAUCACUGGAUCACUGGAAGCCCUCGGCAGCCUGCCAUGGAGAGGGGCUCUUGGGGAGAGAAGAAGCCUGUUUCAAGCCCAGAUGCUCUUAUUUACUUGUUGUCUGCCUCUUGUCAUUUCCCCUGGGCAGGGAAGCCAGGCCCUUCUCCUCCUGCUUGCCUAAGUUCAGUCACUCCUUCUUGCUCAUCCUACCCUUCCAUGAGGGAUGUACAGUGUUCAAAAAGGACUAGCACCUCUGGUGUGAGGGCUUACCAAGUCCUUUUCAAGGUUGCUCAUCUACUCUAGUGUCCACUUGGCACUCAACUCUCACCCAUGACUCCAAGAGGCAUGCACAGGGGCUACAUCCCAGUAAACCAGGUUGGAAAUUACCAAUGGGUCCCAAAUUCAUCUUUGAGUUAGAGGGUUGCAUAUUCCAUGUAUGUGAAGACUUCCCCCGGUGGAAUGGGGGGAUAAGAAUAAUUUCUUCCAAUGGCCAUUAAGGUGGCUGGAGCAUCUAGAGCUUGGUCAGACAUGAAAGAACAUCCAAUGCAUCCCAGGCCAUUGCCAGGCCUGACUUUUGUUCUUCCACUGGACAUUGAUGAUUCUGGAAGAUAGAGUGAGACUUGAUGACUUUGCACAACUCUGUCUCACUUAAGUCCAAUUCAUGGGCAAGUUAAGAUGUCCCCUUGAUAUCAUUAGUCCUCUCUGAAAUGAAGGACAAACAACAACCACCUUCCAGAAACAUUUCCCUUCUCCUCAUAUAGCUGUCUUCCAGUAGUACUAUGUAACACAAACAAAUGACAGGAUUUGGUGACAUUGAAAAGGAUGAGGGCGAUGCCACAGGAUUCUAGCUAGAGAUCAGUGUUAGAUUAUGGAGGACAAGCUAAGAAGUUGCGAGGAUAAAUGGAAAACUUGUUUUCCAUUAGAGAAAGAGAAUAAGUGGGAGGGAGGUUCAGUUUAAAAGGGAAAAUUAAGGGAAGCCAUCAACAAGGAAAGCAAAGAUGGAGCCAGAGGAAGAGCAAAGGUGAGAAGUCUGUCUGAGCAAGAGAUGUCUUUCUGAGAAUCCUCAAUAUGGGGAAGAGAUGAAGCCAGAGGACAUAAGUUAAUUCAGGUAAUGAAAGUCUAGAGACAAAUGUUGGGCCAAGGAUUGAGCCUUCGGGGAAAAGCCAGUAGCUUAGAGGAAAGAUAAAAGAGCCAAAGAAAAGAAAAAUUAAACAGCAGAGUGAGCAAAAGAAAUGUAGUUUCAUUAAAAGAAUCAAAGGACAGUUUCACAAAGGAUAGUCUAUAAUGACGAUGGGGUGUGGGAUGGUGGUGGAAGAGAAUGAUAGGUCAUUGUGAAGGAAUUAGGUCAGCAGAUCACCUGAAUUUGGUUCAAGAGGAAACCCCACCCCAGAGGGGAGCAGCUUAGGGGGUGCAGGAGAUGUGGCCACCCCAAAGGGGAAGGGAGCAGCACAGCCCACCUGUGGCAGAGGUAGAGGGAAUGACAGCUCUUCUCACUGUCAUAGCAUCUGUCACUGCUAACCUAGGAGAGCUCUGAAGGGAAAUUGAAGAAUGCAAGUUGGAACUCACAGGAAAACCAUCAAAGAUGGUGAUGAGAAUAAAAGGGGUGGCGGGGGGUGGGGGGGGCA
Monodelphis domestica (gray short-tailed opossum) is the source of this 2338-nucleotide long non-coding RNA. Lineage: Eukaryota; Metazoa; Chordata; Mammalia; Didelphimorphia; Didelphidae. The record is from Ensembl.